RNAcentral lists this long non-coding RNA (245 nucleotides) under Lupinus angustifolius (narrow-leaved blue lupine). RNAcentral describes it as "long non-coding RNA (LANG_LNC001949)". Lineage: Eukaryota; Viridiplantae; Streptophyta; Magnoliopsida; Fabales; Fabaceae. The record is from RNAcentral.
GGUGAGAAUGGUUCCUGGGGUGCACUGGAAAACAUAAUUCUCUGACUGCCAUGAGCGUUCCUGUUCAAGCAUGGAGACCAAUGCUUGAGACUCAAACCCUACUCUUAAAAAACUUGGCUUGAUGUGUGGAAUAGGGAAAUCUACCUUCUUGUACUCAAAUUGCCCUAUGCGAGCCAUCUUCUUCCUUUUUGCCUCCUCCGCUAUCCUUGCCUUGUCGGUUUAGGUUGGGUUAUAGCCUAGACCGA